CGAACGCUGGCAGCGUGGAUUAGGCAUGCAAGUCGGACGGGAUCGGCCGGAUAGCAAUAUUCGGCCGUGAGAGUGGCGGAUUGGGGAGGAGCACGUGAGCAACCUGCCCUGGAGAUGUGGAAAACCUCUGGAAACGGAGGCUAAUACAGAAUGUGGCGCCCGACGGCAUCGUCGGAGCGCCGAAGGGGGCCGCAAGGCUCCCGCUCCGGGAUGGGCUCGCGCACCAUCAGCUAGUUGGCGGGGUAACGGCCCACCAAGGCCUACGGUUAGCUGGUCUGAGAGGAUGACCAGCCCCACUGGGACUGAGAUACUGCCCAGACUCCUACGGGAGGCUGCAGUCGAGGAUCAUUCGCAAUGGGCGAAAGCCUGACGAUGCGACGCUGCGUGGAAGGAUGAAGGCCUUCGGGUCGUAAACUCCUGUCAUGGGGGAAGAGGCGAGGGAAGCGAACACCUUCCUUAGUUGACUGUACCCCAAGAGGAAGCGACGGCUAACUCUGUGCCAGCCGCUGC
Molecule: ribosomal RNA, 510 nt
Filed under: uncultured bacterium
Lineage: Bacteria
Description: bacterial SSU rRNA
Rfam family: Bacterial small subunit ribosomal RNA
Source: RNAcentral